RNAcentral lists this ribosomal RNA (497 nucleotides) under uncultured bacterium. Its description in RNAcentral is "partial 16S ribosomal RNA". It matches the Rfam family "Bacterial small subunit ribosomal RNA", at positions 28 to 507 of the family's 1533-position model. The record is from RNAcentral.
GACGAACGCUGGCGGCGUGCCUAAUACAUGCAAGUCGAGCGCUGAAGGUUGGUACUUGUACCAACUGGAUGAGCAGCGAACGGGUGAGUAACGCGUGGGGAAUCUGCCUUUGAGCGGGGGACAACAUUGGGAAACGAAUGCUAAUACCGCAUAAAAACUUUAAACACAAGGUUUAAGAGUGAAAGAUGCAAUUGCAUCACCCAAAGAUGAUCCCGCGUUGUAUUAGCUAGUUGGUGAGGUAAAGGCCCACCAAGGCGAAGAUACAUAGCCGACCUGAGAGGGUUGUCGGCCCCCUUGGGACUGGGGCCCCGCCCCAACUCCUUCGGGGGGCAGCCGUAGGGAAUCUUCGGGCAUGGACGGAAGUCUUACCGGGCAACGCCGCGUGGGUGGAGAAGGUUUUCGGAUCGUAAAACUCUUUUGGUAGGGAAGAACGUUGGUGGGAGUGGACAGCGCAUCAAGUGACGGUAACUACCCAGAAAGGCACGGCUAACUACGUG